AGACAGAAACUGUGAGAUGGGGAAGCCACAGAAAGAGCACAUGGAAGGGUUUGGGGGUGGGCGUGGUGAAGCAUAUAACAUAGAGACAGAAGUGAGGGUCACAGGGAAAGACAGAGAACCCAGAGGGACAGAGACAGAUGCAGACAGGAGGAAGGGAGAGAGACAGGCAGGCGGAGAUGUGGAAAGGCACGCAAACAUGCCCUCUAAGGAUUGCAGAAGGAUUUGGUUUGUGUGUGAGAGAGCUCUCAGCUUUGAUUGCUCCUAGGAAGAGACCUUGGAUGGUAUCAGCAAAUCAGACAAGAAACUGGAAUUAUCAGAGUGAAGUGACAAGUUUAGAGCCACCUAGCUCAUGGUGAUGGAUCUGGUCUGGAUGCUGGCCCACAUGCCGAUCUGGUUCAUGGUGACAGAUCUGGUCUGGAUGCUGGACCACAUGCCGAGCUAGUCCCUGGUGACAGAUCUGUUCUGGAUGCUGGACCACAUGCCUAGGUACCCCAUAACUCUGGAGGGCGGAACACAGAGAUGCCUAAAAUUCAUCAGGGAUAUGAGAAAGUAUUUUUAAAUUCAUCAGCUUUAGGGGACUGGAGAGACGGCUCAGUAGUUAGAAAGCACUUGCGGUGCCAUCACGAGGAUGAACUUCUGGAUCCUAGCACCACAUAACAGGGAUGGCUUUGUUGGUGGCUCGACACACAAUACUCUGCCCGUUUUCUACAUCUCCCGGGGAGAUGAAGAGGGUGCUGACAAUGCUCUCACGUUUGCCAUCGCGAAGCAGAGUCUGCGGAGAGAGGUGGUGAAGGAAUAGAAGGUCUCGUGUUACUGAACUGAGAUGACCCGGGAGGGAAAGACAGACCUCCGGUCAGAGAAGCAAGAGCUGUGCAUGGCGAGUGUUGGGAGGGUUGGCUCAGGAGACCGGGGUCCAGUCACCAUUCAGACCUGGGGGAAUUCCCUUACAGUCUUGACCUGGUUGAAUGCUGGAUGGUGGAAGGAAAAAACAAAGGGACUAGAGAGAUCGCCGUGCUGUGUGAAAAACAGCCCAUACUUGCAUGUCAAAAGCUCAGCAGAAAUCAGGUUUAGCUGACUGGAAGCCAGACCUUGGAUAGAUUUGUUGCGAGGAAGAAGCAUCAUCUGUAUUUUGCAAGCCACUGCUGAGUUCAAAGUGAACUGCUGGGCAGAACAGGGACUCACACGUAAGACUGGGGAAACUGAGGCGGAGCGAUUAAGGCAACAUUAUGAUGUGAUGGGAGCCCGGCCUGCAGGCCGCCGCCGUUUGGACACUGCCACAGCAUCUAGAACAUGCAGAUGGUCAGGUGUGAGGACCCAGAGGACCGGCAACGGUCCCGACGGCUGUAUUUAUUGCAGGUUCAGUCUGCCAGGAAGCCUCCUUUGGAUGACCUUGGCUCCUGGGCUGUGUGUUUGCCUUUCCGGACGGCCUCACAGGGUGGCUCCACCCAGGACUUAUCUCCCAAGAGAAAGCGUUGUUCCUAGGGUGGAUUCUGGUCUAAGAGAAACCUUUUGUUUGGGGCUCUGGCCCCAGGAACUGCGUGAUGGAAGAGUUUGGAUCAGUCGCCCUCCAAAGGUCUCCUUUACCCUGAACGUUCUGCAAGAUGUAAACCCCGCUUGGGCCUGCAUAAAAGUCUCCUGGGGUAGUGUGAGGCACUGGUUAUUUCUGACCAUAUUCGUGGACAGUGAGGCCAACAGACGAAGGAGCCAUCGCCAUUGCAGAGACGGAUUGCUAUUCACCGUCCCCAAGAGGAGAGGCAUGGCAAACCAUGCCACACCAGGCUACUGGGAGUGGAGGGCUCUGUGUGAUGCACCUCUGCUGUGGUUAGUGGGGAAAGGGAUGGGAGGCAGGGUAGGGGCCACACAGCUUUUGGUUUGGAUAACUUGACUAGCAUUAGUGGGCGCUGGGCUGUAGAGGGAUCUGCUGUUUCUGAUUCCUGGUUUUGGAGAGACCACUCUAGACUCGAGACUCCAGGAGGCAGAGAAAGGCGAGCAUGGGGCUGUGGCCUCUAGAUGGGCCAAAGAGUGAACAGUAAGUUAACUCUUUCUGGGGACUGGUUAACCUGGGUCGGCUUCAUAUCCCAGGGUCUUUGAGACCACAAGCUGUCAAAACAUUAUAAAAGCCAGAAAACAAAGUAAAAGAGUAGUUACCACGAGGGGCAGUUCUGGGUGCCACUGCGUGAGUUAGAGACAGGUCCAUAGGCAAGUACAUCAGGGCAUGGAGCUUAGAUUAGCCUUCUGGGUCCCUGUUCUGGCAUCUCAUUAGGCAGCCGUGGAAAGCAGGCCAGAUUUUGCAAACUAAAACACAGGAUGGCCUAUUAACUUUUAACUUCAGAUGAACAAUGCAUAAUUUGUUAGCAUGGGUACAGUCCAUACAACACUUGGGAGAAAUAUGCUAAAAAAUUAACUUACUAUAUUUUCUGGAAAAAAGUCUUUUUCAAUUCAGACUCUUUUAACAACAAACAAGCAAACAAACAAACAGCUGUAAGCUGGACAGCAGCAGAACCACAGACGUUCAUUUCUUCCAGUUCUGGAGGGUAAGAAGCCCAAGACAGGGCAGACUGACUGUGAACGGCAAGGGUCAGACACCUGUCUGUAAGUGGCCAUCCUCUUACAAUGUCCGCACAUGGCGGAAAGGACAGAGUUCUUCUCUCUUGGGCCUCUUUUAUAAGGUCCCUAAUUCCAAUCGUGAAAACACCAUCCUCAUGACAUAACCACCUUCCAAAGCUCCAUUUCCACUCUCUUGGAGCUUACGGUUUCAACACCGGCGUUUCGGGGGUGGCACACAGUUAUUCAGAGGAGCACGCACUAGCUGUGGCAACUCCAGGCCCGGUUACUUCUGCCUCAAGUCUGCUCUUCUGACCGUAUCUUGCUCUGGGGUUUUUACAUAUAAUUAUGCUAGUCAGGGGGUAAGAUGAGGGGGGCAGAAGCAGGGAGGCUAGUGGGAGAAACAGUCUGAGAACUAAAGUGACCAAUAAAGCAAACAAACAAAACACAGGGAGAUAGCGAAACAACAGAGGCACUUCCACAUGGAGGAAGACAGAGCUGGUCCCCAUGUGCCCGACCCCUCCACCCUUGCCUCCCUUUAUCCUUUGUCCCACUGCCCAUUCCCCCGCCCGCAUCUCCUGCUCCCGCUCACCUUGGAGUAGGUGGCCCCGUUGAUGACCUCUCCUUUGCGCAGCCAGAUGAUGGAAGCUGCGGGCUUGGCGUUAUCCGCGUGGCAGGUCAGGUUGAGAGGGUCUCCUGCCCGAAGGCUGAUCACAGGCCCCCCUAGGAUGAUGGGGUCAUCGGGUGGCACUGUGGGGAGAGGAGCAGAGAGGUCAGGUUGGGGUAGGACUCUGCUUGACAUGGCAGAGGAUGAUAGCAAUAAUGGUUAUACUUUGAUAAAGAGCGUUGCCCUCUGUAUUACAAUGAUAGUAACAGUAAAAGGAUGUGUUGUUCUUCAUCUUUUGUGGCAGGAAUAAGCAUGUGUGAGCACAGGCAGGUGUCCCUAGCUAGUCUCACCGACCGGGAAGAAGUAGUCCUUUGCAACAGAGAUACCAGGGACCUGCAGGAUCUUUAUUUUCAACUUCAAAAAAAAAAAAAGAUUUAUUUUUAUUUCUUUUUAAAGAUGAUGAUGAUGAUUGUUGUUGCUAGGUUUUUCAAGACAGCGUUUCUUUGUGUAGUCCUAGCUGUCCUGGAACUUGCUCCGUAGACAAGUCUGGCCUCGAACUCACAGAGAUCCGCCUGCCUCUGCCUCCCGAGGACUAGGAUUAAAGGCGUGUGCCACCACUGCCUGGCCUAGGAUCUUAUUUUUUAGUUGUGUGUGUGCAUGCACCCGAGUGGCAGUGCUCACAGAGGCCAGAGGCAUUGGACCCCCUGGAGCUGGAGUGAUAGGCAGUUGUGAGCUGCCUGAUAGUUGUCUUGGGAACCAGACCCUGUUCUUGCAAGUGUAGUACCUGCUUUUAAUAAGUGAGUCAUUAAUCGGCCUCCACAUUUCUUUUCUUUUUGUUGCAUCUCUCACAAGAGUUUUGAAGGAAAAACACUAUUUUCAUCACAAUUACAUAGACCUGAAAACUGAGGGUCACCAAGGGACUUGCUCAAGGUCACAUGGUGAAAGUAUAGCAGAGUGGGGGCUGGGAGCUGCACCUUUGACCCUUGGUCAGCCUGGUCCCCUCCCUCAGGUGACAGGUGACAGGGAGGGUCUUUGGUUCUUUGGAGUUUCCACCCUGGCCUUUCCUGAGCUCUGUCCUUUAGAGUAGCUCUUGAACCCUGAUUCCCAUUCAGAAGGAGUUACUUUUCUUUUUCUAUAAGUAACAGUGUGGUUAGUGACUGGCAGUUCCAUAUCCAUAGUGCCAAAGGGGAACGGACAUGGGACUGUUCCCUUCCCUGUGGAGCAAGGUCCCUCCCUGCAGGGCCAACACUGAACUUCAUGCCUUGAAGCAUCUGCAGAGACACCUGCUGGCUCCAAUGAACCAUGUUUGAUUACCGUGAAGGCCACACUGUAGGAUGUACAGGAUUCUACAUCUAGAAGUUGCUGGGAAACACCCCCGAGCCUCAAUUCCUUCUGGGAUAGCCUUAAACCUGGAGCUUGUGACCAGCUUUUUUUUUUUUUUUU
Myodes glareolus (Bank vole) is the source of this 4594-nucleotide non-coding RNA. The record is from RefSeq and is a predicted model, not a curated record. Lineage: Eukaryota; Metazoa; Chordata; Mammalia; Rodentia; Cricetidae.